UCAAGGGCGAGAGGAGUAUAAGUGCUCAUGAUCGGUCGCGGUUGAUUUGAACGCCAGUCGAUUGGUGUGUGAGCUGCGGAGAACAUCGCGGGAACACUUUCUCCGGUUUCAAACGUAAAAGUGCAUUCAAGUUUUCCGAAACAAAUCAAAACGGCUGCAGCAGAAGAGCCAAAAACAAAGAGCUUCACUAGCCGAAGUAACAAACUCUAGUCCAGAUGAAGCACACCCAUAACCACAUGAUCAAGAGUGCAGAUACCCUCAAGCACAGAGACGUCAACGAAGAGAACAUAGAAAAGUUCAAGAACCUGUAUGCGAAAGGCCAUUCUCCAGCAUCCGCGUUGAAUACUCAUAAGCUGGACAUGCAGCUACAAUACGACAAAGAUUACGUUUAUGAAGCUGCAGAUUGGUCUAAGUGUCCAGAUAUACAGUUCUGUCACAGGUAAGACAGCUGUAGACUUCCUGGUGACACGACUCCCGGGAUACUAUGAGCGCAGCCUCACUGACCUUGCUAAUGGAUAGGAAAGCUCCUCACUCUCUCAGUCAGUAUGUCAUGAACAAUGAAGGGAUUGGUCGAAACAAAUCUUCGAAGUGGUAGUUCCUUACCAUCAUUGUAAGACUAUUUUGAUAGGUUGUGAGAACAUUUUGCCAACUUUGGUUGCGUUUUAUGAUUUUGAAACCAGUAUUAUCAUCAAUGAGAAUCAGAUGCUACAUGUACAUGUAGUAUGAUGUAGUAAUUCUAAUGGUUUUUGCAUUGAAAGUGACAUCUUUAUUACACAAUGUACAUUAAUUUUGAUAAGAUUUUGCGUGUUUGCUAUGAUGCAGGUUUGCAUUGAAACAGCUUGGUGUCGUAAGCUUUCUAUUAUACCUUAGUUAUCUCUCCUUACCUUGUAAUGAGUUUUGUAUGAAUGUUCUUACAUGAUCGAUGCAAAAUAAAGUUAUUUCUAAAGCUA
Lineus longissimus is the source of this 950-nucleotide long non-coding RNA. RefSeq lists it as uncharacterized. The transcript has 2 exons. Lineage: Eukaryota; Metazoa; Nemertea; Pilidiophora; Heteronemertea; Lineidae. The record is from RefSeq and is a predicted model, not a curated record.